GAGGUUAUAGCUCAGGGGGAGAGUGUGUGCUUAGCAUGCAUGAGGUCCUGGGUUCAAUCCCAAGUACCUCCA
RNAcentral lists this transfer RNA (72 nucleotides) under Camelus bactrianus (Bactrian camel). It matches the Rfam family "tRNA". From Rfam's summary of the family: Transfer RNA (tRNA) molecules are approximately 80 nucleotides in length. Their secondary structure includes four short double-helical elements and three loops (D, anti-codon, and T loops). Further hydrogen bonds mediate the characteristic L-shaped molecular structure. tRNAs have two regions of fundamental functional importance: the anti-codon, which is responsible for specific mRNA codon recognition, and the 3' end, to which the tRNAs corresponding amino acid is attached (by aminoacyl-tRNA synthetases). tRNAs cope with the degeneracy of the genetic code in two manners: having more than one tRNA (with a specific anti-codon) for a particular amino acid; and 'wobble' base-pairing, i.e. permitting non-standard base-pairing at the 3rd anti-codon position. RNAcentral also lists the same sequence under 2 other names. Lineage: Eukaryota; Metazoa; Chordata; Mammalia; Artiodactyla; Camelidae. The record is from Rfam by way of RNAcentral.